Long non-coding RNA from Sciurus carolinensis (gray squirrel), 1651 nucleotides. RefSeq lists it as uncharacterized. NCBI's taxonomy places the organism in Eukaryota, Metazoa, Chordata, Mammalia, Rodentia, Sciuridae. The record is from RefSeq and is a predicted model, not a curated record. The transcript has 3 exons.
GCUAGCUCCUGGGGACAGAUUGGUCACUGCUAACUUUGAGGUAGAGAUGACCCUCUUGCUUAUACUUGAAAUGACUGGUGUGAAAAGUUCAAGGGUGCUCAGAGUGUUGGUUGAGUGCUGUCCACGCUCUGAAUUCAUACGCACUGUGGAGUGGAAUAACAGGUGCUUCCACCUCUAGCGUUGCUUUGAGGACUGUAGAAGAAUGAGCCAUUCUUGAGAGAGUACCUUGAGAAGAGGAAUUUCCAGUUAAAGGAACUAUUCACCCCUGGCUAGUGGUCAAGCCACUUUGUUUUCAAGAGAGGACUUACAAAGGCCAUCAGCAACCUCACAACAUUGCAGAUUGAACCCUUGGCUUCACAUGCUAGGCCCCUCAGGCCACUCCACUACAAUACUCUAGCUUCAUCUACUGUCUUGCACUCUGGUUCCAACCUGUGCUUCAUGUUUCCACCGUCUCAGUCUGCUCAGUCUCUUGACUCUAUCUGGUCCUAUUGUACUUCAGUGCUUUGUGAAUACGCUUCUUCUGCUUGCAGUCAUAUCCUCACUGUUAAAGGCAAAACCCAGAACAAGUGAGCAACUUUUGUUGCUCAGAAUGUUGCAAUGGGGAAUCCACCCCAGGAUGGAGAUCAGAGUGUUUUGGCAGGCUGGUUUCGCCUUAAAUUUUAUAGGGAGGAGAAGAUAAGUUAGAGAUAGGAUGAUUUUGCAGCUGGGAUUGUUUUUGUAAUUGGAGGGAGUUUCAGUCAGUCAGAUGAGCAAGAAAAGUUUAUCCCUGAGUUGAGCCAGUUUUGGGUGGACAAACGGUUCAGUUAAUCAUUUCUGAGAUAAAGGAUGGGAAUUUUCAGGGUCAGUGUCUGGUGUUGUCACACAUAAAUGAGGGAGCCGACUGCAAGUCUUACGGGAGUUAGGAGGCAGAGUAGACAGACCUUGAGUCUUGUUUAAGGUAUAUGGAGUAGGUGGUUCUUUGCAAUUACCCCUUUCCCAGAACACACAAGUGGAGAGGGAUUUUGGAAAACAAAAGGUAAGAAAGGUUAACUCUCUAUUCUCCAGGACCACAGGUUUAGGUAAAGUUCAACAUGGUCACUACCCUGGUUCAGUAAACUCUUGUUAAACAUUUUUGUCCCAAUGACUUUCCUUCAUCAUAAUCAGAUUCCCCAGACUCUGAAACACAUUUUCUUCCAGGGUGUUUACUGUUUCUUGGGAUCCAUACUUGUGGGGAGCAGUUAAGAAACCUGUUUUUGGUGGAGUGGGGUUUCGCAAACCAAUAUGACCCAUGGCCUCUUUGUAUGUGGUCCUGAGCUAAGUAAGAAUGGUUUUUACAUUUUUAAUGGGUUGUGUGUGUGGGGUGCGGGGAAUACUCAAGAUUGACUUUGUGUGUCAUAAAAUGCCUAACAUUUAUUAUCCAUUCCUUUUGGAAAAAAGUUUGCCCACUCCUGAGUUAGAAGGGGAAAGGUGAAGCGAGGUGUGGUGGGCCACCCCUGUAAUCUCAGCUACUCCAAGAGGCUGAGGAUCAAAGACAGAAGGAUCAAGACAGAAGGAUCAAAAUUAAAAAAAAAGGAAUGUUCCCACUACCCCAAUUUUUUCUAGUGUUUUGAGCAUGAAGGGGUGCUGUAUUUUAUCGAAUGCUUUUUCUGCAUCUAUUGAAAUAAUCAUGUGA